This 405-nucleotide unclassified non-coding RNA is filed under the name Hevea brasiliensis (rubber tree). Lineage: Eukaryota; Viridiplantae; Streptophyta; Magnoliopsida; Malpighiales; Euphorbiaceae. The record is from RNAcentral.
GGUUCCUUCCAUUAUCAAUCUCUUGGCAAUCAUUAUUUGAUGCCUGGAAGACAAAAAAAGAUAUCUUUACUAAAAAAAUAAGGAAAUUAAAGUAACACAUAAAUUAUGACAGAGGUGUAUUGACAGGCGCGCAGAUUUGACCACCUGGUUGGUCCAAUUACAAGCCUUGAGCUUCAAAUGGAAAGUAGAUUGUUGGUUUCUUUUCUAACUGUUAGAGAGCAGAGACAAGGAAGCAAAGAACACUAAGAAUAGCAUUAACUUCCAUAUAUUAAUUUAGCAUAAGUUCACUCCAACUGAGAAGAUUAUGACAACAUAUCAAAAAGACCUCAGACAAACAAUGUCAAUCUUGCCUGCAGUCUAGUGCAUGUAUGAUAUAAGGUAAAAACUAGCACAAUCUUGAAACUG